This 2245-nucleotide long non-coding RNA is filed under the name Brassica napus (rape). Its description in RNAcentral is "long non-coding RNA (BNAP_LNC017181)". Lineage: Eukaryota; Viridiplantae; Streptophyta; Magnoliopsida; Brassicales; Brassicaceae. The record is from RNAcentral.
AAAAAUACACAUGCAUUAGAACACUUGUAUGUUAAUUUCCAUAAUGUUUUGUUUAAACAUUCUUCGUUUUAAUUAGAUUCUUUUUGUGUGAAGAUUGUUCGAAGAAGAAAAAACCGAAGAUGGCAACAACAUCCACGGGAGAUAUCGAGAAAACGAAGUCAGUAGAAGUGAAGAAGAAACUUAACGUGUUGAUCGUCGAUGAUGAUCCUGUAAUUCGUAAACUUCACGAGAUUAUCAUCAAAUCAAUCGGUGGAAUUUCACAGACAGCUAAGAACGGUGAGGAGGCAGUGAACAUCCACCGCGACGGCAAUGCAUCUUUCGACCUUAUCCUAAUGGAUAAAGAAAUGCCCGAGAGGGAUGGACUUUCGGUACAAUUAAAUAAUAAUCUUUAAUUUAAUUUGUGUCGAUCAUCACUACACUUAUUAAGCUCCUCUUUAAAAUACUUUUUUAUGUCCUUUUGUUGGUUUUGUUUAGGCAACUAAGAAGCUAAGAGAAAUGAAAGUGACGUCUAUGAUUAUUGGGGUGACGACACUGGCUGACAAUGAAGAGGAACGUAAGGCUUUCAUGGAAGCUGGACUUAACCAUUGCUUGGCAAAGCCCUUAAGCAAAGCCAAGAUCCUCCCUCUCAUCAACAAUCUCAUGGAUGCUUGAUGGAUGGAUGAAUUGUCGCCACUACAUAUCUACAUUAUAUAAAUAUGAAAAACACAUAAUAACGUCAGCUUAUACACCUGUGUGUGUAUGCAUAUAUCUAUCUGCAUGUGUGUGUUUUAGGGUUGUUAUGUUUGAUUUUUAUCGUGCGUGGCGUGAUAUACAAUCAUGUAAGUCAUUACUUUUGGCUUAUAAAAUAAUGAAUAAGAUUUCUUAUGAUCAGAUGCAUUCGAUUUCCAUUUCAAUUAACUAGAUCUACUUGGUACAUUCAAUUUGCAAUCUGCUAAAAAUCCAUACCUAUAUUUAACUGAUCCGGAUUAUAGAUUACAACCGUAGAUUUUGAGGAACGUCUUCGUAGUUUAUCUCCAUUUUUUUUUUUUCCUUUCUCUUUUUCUCUAGUUAGAUUUUAUCCAUUCCAGACAAAACUACAGAUGUAUAACUUACAGAAAAUAUCAGACAUAACUUAACUACAUCUCAAUAUCUCUUUACUUGUGGUUAUUUGUUUUCACAUGCUUUUGGUUUAAGCCUUCUAGCUUUAGAGACUAACAAGGAAUGUUAAUUAGGAUUUUUGAUAAGAGUGAAAUUCACUUGGGGAAAGUCAACUUGUUAGAAAACUAACUAGUUUGUUAUUGUAUCUCUAUCAGCGUGUUAAUUAUUACUCUUUGUGGGUUGCUAGUUGCUACAAGUUAAAUUUGAUUUCAGCUUUCCAACUCGGAUUUAUUCCCGAUUUAAACUCAGUCUAACCGUCACUCCGGUCCAAUUUAAGAACAUUGGACACAACUAAACUUCCACUCACAAGUUUCCAAAGUUCAACUCUUCUUUUCACACAGCCAGAUUGGUAUGAUCGAAUCAUGGAAUCGUAUACGUGAACCUACUCAAAUACCUCACUUUAAUACAAGAAGAAGUUCAAAAUCUUUUAAUAACCACAACCCGGUUUAGGAAACCAAUCAAAAACAUCCCGGUUUAUCUUACCUAGACCGUAAUUCAUUAAAUAGCCCAUGGGCCUUUAAAAUCAUCAUAGUUAAGCCCAUUAUAAUUUCGACAUAUAUAAACAAAAAAAAAAAAAAAAUACACAUGCAUUAGAACACUUGUAUGUUAAUUUCCAUAAUGUUUUGUUUAAACAUUCUUCGUUUUAAUUAGAUUCUUUUUGUGUGAAGAUUGUUCGAAGAAGAAAAAACCGAAGAUGGCAACAACAUCCACGGGAGAUAUCGAGAAAACGAAGUCAGUAGAAGUGAAGAAGAAACUUAACGUGUUGAUCGUCGAUGAUGAUCCUGUAAUUCGUAAACUUCACGAGAUUAUCAUCAAAUCAAUCGGUGGAAUUUCACAGACAGCUAAGAACGGUGAGGAGGCAGUGAACAUCCACCGCGACGGCAAUGCAUCUUUCGACCUUAUCCUAAUGGAUAAAGAAAUGCCCGAGAGGGAUGGACUUUCGGUACAAUUAAAUAAUAAUCUUUAAUUUAAUUUGUGUCGAUCAUCACUACACUUAUUAAGCUCCUCUUUAAAAUACUUUUUUAUGUCCUUUUGUUGGUUUUGUUUAGGCAACUAAGAAGCUAAGAGAAAUGAAAGUGACGUCUAUGAUUAUUGGGGUGACGACACU